Molecule: unclassified non-coding RNA, 330 nt
Filed under: Hevea brasiliensis (rubber tree)
Lineage: Eukaryota; Viridiplantae; Streptophyta; Magnoliopsida; Malpighiales; Euphorbiaceae
Source: RNAcentral
GCCCAGAGUAUUGACAGCUGUUGUUUUAGGAGAUUGGGUCCUUUCGGUACUGUCACUGGCUGUGUCGUGUUCCACAGCUAGUGUGGCUGAUUUCCUGAUUGCUUCUGGUAAUGUAUACUGCAGAGAUAACAUAUGCCUACGGUAUCAACUCUCUGCUGCCAUGGCUUUCUUGACUUGGAUUUUGUCAUCGGCGUCUUUGCUCUUGAAUCUUUGGCUUCUUCCUACAUUAUAUUAGUUGCAUCUCUGGUCCUUGUCCCCUCCUGGUUGUCUCUUGAUUUAACGAAUAGGAAGUAACAAUUGUGACCGAUCUAUUCGGCUAUGAUCUCUGAA